GUGAAUCAUCGAAUCUUUGAACGCAAAUUGCACUCCCUGGUAUUCCGGGGAGUAUGCCUGUUUGAGGGUCGUUAGAACACAUAUAGAAGCGAAGCUCUUUUUUUUUAUGAGUGAUCGCGUCGGUAUUGUGCCGUCUUUCAAAUGUUAAUUCAUGUCAAAGUGGCUUGAAAUUCAUCUAUCCGGUAUGAUUA
RNAcentral lists this unclassified non-coding RNA (191 nucleotides) under Glomeraceae sp. Its description in RNAcentral is "partial contains 5.8S ribosomal RNA and internal transcribed spacer 2". The stretch from base 1 to 71 matches the Rfam family "5.8S ribosomal RNA", at positions 84 to 154 of the family's 154-position model. The record is from RNAcentral. Lineage: Eukaryota; Fungi; Glomeromycota; Glomeromycetes; Glomerales; Glomeraceae.